GGGGCGGAUGUAGCCAAGUGGAUCAAGGCAGUGGAUUGUGAAUCCACCAUG
RNAcentral lists this transfer RNA (51 nucleotides) under Talinum fruticosum. RNAcentral describes it as "partial tRNA-His". Lineage: Eukaryota; Viridiplantae; Streptophyta; Magnoliopsida; Caryophyllales; Talinaceae. The record is from RNAcentral.